GCCUGGGUGGCUCAGUCGGUUAAGCUUCUGACUUUGGCUCAGGUCAUGAUCUCGCGGUCUGUGGGUUCGAGCCCCGCGUCGGGCU
Molecule: transfer RNA, 85 nt
Filed under: Felis catus (domestic cat)
Lineage: Eukaryota; Metazoa; Chordata; Mammalia; Carnivora; Felidae
Also listed under: 1 other name
Rfam family: tRNA
About the family: Transfer RNA (tRNA) molecules are approximately 80 nucleotides in length.
Source: Rfam by way of RNAcentral